CUUAAAGGCAUAGGAGCGCGGGCGGCUGCGGCUGUGGGCGCUAUGUCCUCCCGCAGCCCAACGCAUUGCAGAGAGGGACGAUGGAGCUGGGGAAUGGACUGCAGCACACAUCCUAGGAAGAGUGCUUGGUGGAGCUGGGGGUGUUUAGCCCAGGGCCGACUCUCUACAGCCGCCUGAAAGGAAACUGUAGGCAGCAGUAAUACAUCAUUCUUGAGACUUUCUGCCUUUUGAUGCUGCUCUAAAUGAAGGGUGACUGAAAUGAGAACAUCAAGAACAAGCAGAUACUUCAGAACUGUUUCUGGUAAACAGUGCCUAUCCCACAGGUCUGCCUGUCCAAAGGAGAGGAAGGCCAUGACACAAAGUCCUGCAGGAACCUGGAACAUGGGUGACUGUCAUCUGCAUCAGUCUUUCUCUUCAGUCCAAAGCAGGAAGAUUCAACAAUGGAACAUGAAUAGGUGAGAGGAAUUAUAAAGUCUCAAUGCAAGUGAACAUACAGAUAAUUCUGAAACAAAAGAAAUUGCAAUUUCCCUACGACUGUGUGUUUCAUAUUCAUACUGAACACGUUAUCCCAUUUUACAUACUUCAUCAGUAUCUUCCUUAAUAGUCAUGUCUUCCCAAGAAGUCAGUGUAACUACAAAUUUGUAAAACUAAACUUUGCCUGUAGUCUCAAUACAGCAAAUAUAUGCAAUAUGCUUGGCAAGGCAUUGCAGCAAUAUGUGUAGAGGACCAUCUAAUCUCUUACUGGAUAUAAUAAACAUCAGAUACAAAGUCUCUGUAGUUCAAGUUUUUCUAUAUUGUAACUUAUUUGUUUCUGAGUAUUAAAUCAAAAGAAAAAUGUUUUUCAGCAAAAAUAAUAAAAUAAAUGCUAAAAAUUAAUAAGAAAUAAUAUCUUGGUAUGGACAUACCUUUGUGUCAGGUUUUAGCCUCCUUUAGGUAGUACAUCAAGAAAAGAAAGGACAAAGUAAUAACACAUGCCUUAGAGUCUGAACUCCAGUUUCCAUUUCACACAAAUGUAAUUAUUUUAUUCCUAUCAGCCAAUUUAAACUAUGCAGGGAUGUGAAUACAAGUGUAAUUAAACCUGCAUUUUGCUAUACAACAUAUCCUUUGGACUACUUUUCUUCUUAAAGCACAUCCACAUAAUCUUUGAUUUUAGCAAUAGGGAGAAGGGAGAAUAUAAUCUCUGUGGAAGGCUAGACACUCAUCUUUCCAAAGAUGCUAUACUUGAUUUGAACACCUAAUUCAUGUUUCCACUAAAAUCACUUUUUUCAAUUGAAGCAAGACAACAGCUUUCAUGUAAAAGGUAUUUUGUUCAGAAGUUUUCUUAGUAAUUGAAGUGGAUUUUCAUAGGUCUUAAGCUCUCACUUCUACAGCUAGGCAGACUUGAAAGGAAAAUAUAGCUCUUGCAUUCUGGCUACCCAGCAUACCUCACCAUGGCUGAGAUAGAAAUGUAAAGCAAACAAGUGAAGUAGCUUAGAUGUGUUUAUCCAAUCAAAACUAAAAGGAAAUUUGGUGAUAUAAUUUGUCUCAUAAUUAUCACAUUGAUCAAACUACGUGUUUUGCACUUUGACCAUGUAGCCUGUGUGGUUUUGGAGUACAUAUUUUAUCUUUGAACUUCGGCUAAAUUAGCAUG
Molecule: long non-coding RNA, 1630 nt
Organism: Catharus ustulatus (Swainson's thrush)
Lineage: Eukaryota; Metazoa; Chordata; Aves; Passeriformes; Turdidae
Exons: 3
Source: RefSeq, a predicted model, not a curated record